AAAUUGAAGAGUUUGAUCAUGGCUCAGAUUGAACGCUGGCGGCAGGCCUAACACAUGCAAGUCGAACGGUAGCACAGAGAGCUUGCUCUCGGGUGACGAGUGGCGGACGGGUGAGUAAUGUCUGGGAAACUGCCUGAUGGAGGGGGAUAACUACUGGAAACGGUGGCUAAUACCGCAUAACGUCGCAAGACCAAAGAGGGGGACCUUCGGGCCUCUUGCCAUCAGAUGUGCCCAGAUGGGAUUAGCUUGUUGGUGAGGUAACGGCUCACCAAGGCGACGAUCCCUAGCUGGUCUGAGAGGAUGACCAGCCACACUGGAACUGAGACACGGUCCAGACUCCUACGGGAGGCAGCAGUGGGGAAUAUUGCACAAUGGGCGCAAGCCUGAUGCAGCCAUGCCGCGUGUAUGAAGAAGGCCUUCGGGUUGUAAAGUACUUUCAGCGGGGAGGAAGGUGUUGUGGUUAAUAACCACAGCAAUUGACGUUACCCGCAGAAGAAGCACCGGCUAACUCC
Molecule: ribosomal RNA, 512 nt
Filed under: Salmonella enterica
Lineage: Bacteria; Pseudomonadati; Pseudomonadota; Gammaproteobacteria; Enterobacterales; Enterobacteriaceae
Description: bacterial SSU rRNA
Rfam family: Bacterial small subunit ribosomal RNA
Source: RNAcentral